This 30-nucleotide non-coding RNA is filed under the name Mus musculus (house mouse). The record is from RNAcentral. Lineage: Eukaryota; Metazoa; Chordata; Mammalia; Rodentia; Muridae.
UGCAGCAGGCCAUCCUUCAUUAUCGGGUCA